This 657-nucleotide ribosomal RNA is filed under the name Phlebia sp. MG291. RNAcentral's name for it is "eukaryotic LSU rRNA". The stretch from base 232 to 385 matches the Rfam family "5.8S ribosomal RNA". The record is from RNAcentral. Lineage: Eukaryota; Fungi; Basidiomycota; Agaricomycetes; Polyporales; Meruliaceae.
UUCCGUAGGUUGAACCUGCGGAAGGAUCAUUAUUGAAUUAAUUGGCAGGGUUGUCGCUGGCCUUACUCAGGCAUGUGCACGCCUUGUUCAUCCAAUUCUUCAACCCCUGUGCACCUUUCAUAGGUUGGUAGCGGCUUUCUGCCUAGUGUGGAUUGCUUAAACCCAGCCUAUGUAAUUUAUACAAACGCUUCAGUUUAGAAUGUCAUAUUUGCAAUAUAAUGCAUAUAAUACAACUUUCAGCAACGGAUCUCUUGGCUCUCGCAUCGAUGAAGAACGCAGCGAAAUGCGAUAAGUAAUGUGAAUUGCAGAAUUCAGUGAAUCAUCGAAUCUUUGAACGCACCUUGCGCUCCUUGGUAUUCCGAGGAGCAUGCCUGUUUGAGUGUCAUGGUAUUCUCAACCCUCCAAAUCUUUUUUAGAUGAGGAUGGGCUUGGAUGUGGAGGUCUUGUCGGUGAACCUUAGGGAUCGUCGACUCCUCUGAAAUGCAUUAGCAUCAAUUUUACUGAGUGUGCUUCAGUGUGAUAAUUAUCUACGCUGUAGUCAUAAAGUAUAUUAUAUUGUUGCUUCUAAUCGUCUUCUUGUGAGACAAUUCUUGACAAUCUGACCUCAAAUCAGGUAGGACUACCCGCUGAACUUAAGCAUAUCAAUAAGCGGAGGAA